RNAcentral lists this ribosomal RNA (253 nucleotides) under uncultured bacterium. RNAcentral describes it as "partial 16S ribosomal RNA". It matches the Rfam family "Bacterial small subunit ribosomal RNA", at positions 524 to 776 of the family's 1533-position model. The record is from RNAcentral.
UACGUAGGGUGCAAGCGUUAAUCGGAAUUACUGGGCGUAAAGCGUGCGCAGGCGGUGAUGUAAGACAGAUGUGAAAUCCCCGGGCUCAACCUGGGAACUGCAUUUGUGACUGCAUCGCUGGAGUGCGGCAGAGGGGGGUGGAAUUCCGCGUGUAGCAGUGAAAUGCGUAGAGAUGCGGAGGAACACCGAUGGCGAAGGCAGCCCCCUGGGCCAACACUGACGCUCAGGCACGAAAGCGUGGGGAGCAAACAGG